Halichondria panicea is the source of this 4062-nucleotide long non-coding RNA. RefSeq lists it as uncharacterized. The transcript is spliced from 6 exons. Lineage: Eukaryota; Metazoa; Porifera; Demospongiae; Suberitida; Halichondriidae. The record is from RefSeq and is a predicted model, not a curated record.
CUGCAGUAAGGUAUACUUAGUUGUCACGCAUGUCAUGGUAGAGCACAUGUCAUGAUAGAGCACAUGUCAUUUGCAGCCACUAGACAAAGAGAGAGCAAGACGAGGUUUACCCUGCCGGCUGUCUCCUUGUACGUCAGUCACCUUUUGAUAACUACUCAACGCUGCACAGCACAGGAUUCAGCAUUCAAUCACUCUCAUAAUUUUAUUGUCAUUUCAUCUUUUAUGGGGGACGCCCCACUCUUAAUUUUUAUCACUGAAUGGCUGCUGACGUACGUAUAUAUAAGAGCACUACAAGAUACGACAGGAAAGGGCCGCAACAUAGAAUGCUGGCUUUCUGAUCGAGGAGGAGAUGAUCUGUUAUUGGCCGGGGAUGGAGUCCUCUGAGAGACAAAGGGCCAGUUACUGUAUCAUGUAUGAAUAUUCUGUUGCUUGUACAUUUCGUAGCAAUUGACUCUAGAGUAGCAUCUUGAGCUCCCCUUUCUUCAUCACUCAAUCUGCAGGCAGUGUAUGUGAUUUUCUGACAGGAAAGGCUACUCUAAACAGAGGGAGUCGGCCACACAAGAGAGGACUCCCACGGUGGCAAUGAAUGUGAGGCAAUGAUCUGAUGAUGGCUCCACUGCUCUGAUGGACCAAUGCAGGAGAAGUUAUUCUGUAUAAUUAUUACACUAAAUUAAUGUAUGCCACUGUUUGGAUCGGUUUCUGUUCUGCUCAGCUUCUUCCUCCAACUUGCUUACGCAGGCUAAGCUUAUUCUUAGUUCAUUCUUAGUUCAUUCUAUAGUCUAGUAUUAUUGUCGGUUUGGUUGUUUGAUGUUUUUCACCUGGUCAUACGGAAUCACUUCAUUAUUAUCAGUGCAGACCACACCUCUAUCCACACAUUGUAUCUGCACAUCCUGUAUAUAAUUAUGGGGCCACACCCCCACUCACUGUACUGAUAUGUGGUCACACCCACAUACAUGGUAACCCUCUUGACCACACCCCCACCCAUGCAUUGCAUGUAUCGUACAUGCUGUGUUUUUGUGUACAGUACACAUCAUCCGUGUCUUUAUCCCCACACCUAGUCGGAGGGACAGCAAGUUCUACUAAGAGCCAGCAUCACCAACUAACCAACACACUACAAGACCUACCUACUACCAGCUAGGACAGCACACCACCCGGGACAGACUCUACUAUACCAUGUAAUACGCCUUUGUAUUACGAUCAUGAUACAAUUUGCUGCCCUCCCUCGCCAAUGGAUUGAAUAAUUAUGGACACUCGCAGGACAACUAAGAGACUGACACACAAUAAUAGACACCAAAGGGCCAGUUACUGUAUCAUGUACGAAUAUUCUGUUGCUUGUACAUUUCGUAAUGUAAUUGACUGUAGAGUAGCAUUUUGAGCUCCCCUUUCUUCAUCACUCAAUCUGCAGGCAGUGUAUGUGAUUUUCUGACAGGAAAGGCUACUCUAAACAGAGGGAGUCGGCCACACAAGGUAUAGUCUAAUAAUUAUUGUACAGUACUAGAUGAUCUUCUCUGUUUUGGGUCAGAUGCAAUUGCCUUGAAUCACUAGCCAGUUUAAAACAUUUCUUCUACUCUUGGCUUAAGAAAUUGUAUUUUAUUAUUGUACCAGCAUUAGGUAGUUAACUCCACUUAUGCAUUGACCUCUGCGUGUAGCGGGAAAGUUCGUUAUUUGAGCCCUCGAGAAAUGUUGUAUAGUUGUUCACAUUUCAAUGCCAGGAAACCAUAGCUUUGCAUGGUGCGUGGGAGUGUCUUCCAUUUAUAUUACAUGAAGUGUGAAGUGUGUUGUAAGUUUAUACAGAGAGGACUCCCAUGGUGGCAAUGAUCUGAUGAUGGCCCCACUGCUCUGAUGGACCAAUGCAGGAGAAGUUAUUCUGUAUAAUUAUUACACUAAAUUAAUGUAUGCCACUGUUUGGAUCGGUUUCUGUUCUGCUCAGCUUCUUCCUCCAACUUGCUUACGCAGGCUAAGCUUAUUCUUAAUUAGUUCAUUCUUAGUUCAUUCUAUAGUCUAGUAUUAUUGUCGGUUUGGUUGUUUUAUGUUUUUCACCUGGUCAUACGGAAUCACUUCAUUAAUUUUUAUACAGUGCAGACCACACCUCUAUCCACACAUUGUACCUGCACAUCCUGUAUAUAUGGGGCCACACCCCCACUCACUGUACUGAUAUGUGGUCACACCCCCAUACAUGGUAACCCUCUUGACCACACCUCCACCCAUGCAUUGUGUCGUACAUGCUGUGUUUUUGUGUACAGUACACACAUCAUCCGUGUCUUUGUCCCCACACCUAGUCGGAGGGAGCAGCAAGUUCUACUAAGAGCCAGCAUCACCAACUAACCAACACUACAAGACCUACCUACUACCAGCUAGGACAGCACACCACCCGGGACAGACUCUACUAUACCAUGUAAUACGCCUUUGUAUUAACGAUCAUGAUACAAUUUGCUGCCCUCCCUCGCCCAUGGAUUGAAUAAUUAUGGACACUCGCAGGAGACUGACACACAAUAAUAGACACCAAAGGGCCAGUUACUGUAUCAUGUACGAAUAUUCUGUUGCUUGUACAUUUCGUAACAUUAUCAGUAAUUGACUGUAGAGUAGCUCCCCUUUCUUCAUCACUCAAUGCAGGCAGUGUAUGUGAUUUUCUGACAGGAAAGGCUACUCUAAACAGGGAGUCGGCCACACAAGGUAUAGUCUAAUAAUUAUUGUACGGUACUUAGAUGAUCUUCUCUGUUUUGGGUCAGAUGCAAUUGCCUUCAAUCACUAGCCAGUUUAAAACAUUUCUUCUACUCUUGGCUUAAGAAAUUGUAUUUUAUUAUUGUACCAGCAUUAGGUAGUUAACUCCACUUAUGCAUUGACCUCUACUACUGUGUAGCGGGAAAGUUCAUUAUUUGAGCCCUCGAGAAAUGUUGUAUAGUUGUUCUCAUUUCAAUGCCAGGAAACCAUAGCUUUGCAUGGUGCGUGGGAGUGUCUUCCAUUUAUAUUACAUGAAGUGUGAAGUGUGUUGUAAGUUUAUACAGAGAGGACUCCCAUGGUGGCAAUGAUCUGAUGAUGGCUCCACUGCUCUGAUGGACCAAUGCAGGAGAAGUUAUUCUGUAUAAUUAUUACACUAAAUUAAUGUAUGCCACUGUUUGGAUCGGUUUCUGUUCUGCUCAGCUUCUUCCUCCAACUUGCUUACGCAGGCUAAGCUUAUUCUUAAUUAGUUCAUUCUUAGUUCAUUCUAUAGUCUAGUAUUAUUGUCGGUUUGGUUGUUUUAUGUUUUUCACCUGGUCAUACGGAAUCACUUCAUUAAUUUUUAUACAGUGCAGACCACACCUCUAUCCACACAUUGUACCUGCACAUUCUGUAUAUAUGGGGCCACACCCCCACUCACUGUACUGAUAUGUGGUCACACCCCCAUACAUGGUAACCCUCUUGACCACACCCCAAUCCUAUGCUGUGUUUUUGUGUACAGUACACACAUCAUCCGUGUCUUUAUCCCCACACCUAGUCGGAGGGAGCAGCAAGUUCUACUAAGAGCCAGCAUCACCCACUAACCAACACUCUACAAGACCUACCUACUACCAGCUAGGACAGCACACCACCCGGGACAGACUCUACUAUACCCAUGUAAUACGCCUUUGUAUUACGAUCAUGAUACAAUUUGCUGCCCUCCCUCGCCAAUGGAUUGAAUAAUUAUGGACACUCGCAGGACAACUAAGAGACUGACACACAAUAAUAGACACCAAAGGCAGUGUAUGUGAUUUUCUGACAGGAAAGGCUACUCUAAACAAAGGGAGUCGGCCACACAAGUCGGAGGGAGCAGCAAGUUCUACUAAGAGCCAGCAUCACCAACUAACCAACACUACAAGACCUACCUACUACCAGCUAGGACAGCACACCACCCGGGACAGACUCUACUAUACCAUGUAAUACGCCUUUUUAUUACGAUCAUGAUACAAUUUGCUGCCCUCCCUUGCCCAUGGAUUGAAUAAUUAUGGACACUCGCAGGACAACUAAGAGACUGACACACAAUAAUAGACACCUAACUGCAUUUUUGCCAUUAAUAUAAUAAAAAUAAUUAAUUUUUGCCAUUAA